UGGGGGAUAUUGCACAAUGGGCGAAAGCCUGAUGCAGCGACGCCGCGUGGGGGAUGAAGGCCUUCGGGUUGUAAACUUCUUUUGCUCUGAACAAGGCAUGCCUUUGGGGUGUGUUGAGUGUAGGGGUUGAUUAGCGCCGGCUAACUACGUGCCAGCAGCCGCGGUAAUACGUAGGGCGCGAGCGUUGUCCGGAAUUAUUGGGCGUAAAGGGCUUGUAGGUGGCUGGUUGCGUCUGUCGUGAAAGCUCAUGGCUUAACUGUGGGUUUGCGGUGGGUACGGGCUGGCUUGAGGGCAGUAGGGGAGGCUGGAAUUCCUGGUGUAGCGGUGGAAUGCGCAGAUAUCAGGAGGAAUACCGGUGGCGAAGGCGGGUCUCUUGGCUGUUACUGACGCUGAGGGGCGAAAGCGUGGGGAGCGAACAGG
RNAcentral lists this ribosomal RNA (420 nucleotides) under Fusobacteriota bacterium. RNAcentral describes it as "Fusobacteria bacterium partial 16S ribosomal RNA". It matches the Rfam family "Bacterial small subunit ribosomal RNA", at positions 355 to 776 of the family's 1533-position model. The record is from RNAcentral. Lineage: Bacteria; Fusobacteriati; Fusobacteriota.